Molecule: ribosomal RNA, 100 nt
Filed under: Micromonospora sp. S4605
Lineage: Bacteria; Bacillati; Actinomycetota; Actinomycetes; Micromonosporales; Micromonosporaceae
Source: RNAcentral
AGGGGAAACGCCCGGUCACAUUCCGAACCCGGAAGCUAAGCCCUCCAGCGCCGAUGGUACUGCACUCGUGAGGGUGUGGGAGAGUAGGACACCGCCGGAC